ACGCUAGCUACAGGCUUAACACAUGCAAGUCGAGGGGCAUCAGGAAGAAAGCUUGCUUUCUUUGCCGGCGACCGGCGCACGGGUGAGUAACACGUAUCCAACCUGCCCUUUACUCGGGGAUAGCCUUUCGAAAGAAAGAUUAAUACCCGAUAGCAUAAUGAUUCCGCAUGGUUUCAUUAUUAAAGGAUUCCGGUAAAGGAUGGGGAUGCGUUCCAUUAGGUUGUUGGUGAGGUAACGGCCCACCAAGCCUUCGAUGGAUAGGGGUUCUGAGAGGAAGGUCCCCCACAUUGGAACUGAGACACGGUCCAAACUCCUACGGGAGGCAGCAGUGAGGAAUAUUGGUCAAUGGGCGCUAGCCUGAACCAGCCAAGUAGCGUGAAGGAUGAAGGCUCUAUGGGUCGUAAACUUCUUUUAUAUAAGAAUAAAGUGCAGUAUGUAUACUGUUUUGUAUGUAUUAUAUGAAUAAGGAUCGGCUAACUCCGUGCCAGCAGCCGCGGUAAUACGGAGGAUCCGAGCGUUAUCCGGAUUUAUUGGGUUUAAAGGGAGCGUAGGUGGACUGGUAAGUCAGUUGUGAAAGUUUGCGGCUCAACCGUAAAAUUGCAGUUGAUACUGUCAGUCUUGAGUACAGUAGAGGUGGGCGGAAUUCGUGGUGUAGCGGUGAAAUGCUUAGAUAUCACGAAGAACUCCGAUUGCGAAGGCAGCUCACUGGACUGCAACUGACACUGAUGCUCGAAAGUGUGGGUAUCAAACAGGAUUAGAUACCCUGGUAGUCCACACAGUAAACGAUGAAUACUCGCUGUUUGCGAUAUACAGUAAGCGGCCAAGCGAAAGCAUUAAGUAUUCCACCUGGGGAGUACGCCGGCAACGGUGAAACUCAAAGGAAUUGACGGGGGCCCGCACAAGCGGAGGAACAUGUGGUUUAAUUCGAUGAUACGCGAGGAACCUUACCCGGGCUUAAAUUGCAGUGGAAUGAUGUGGAAACAUGUCAGUGAGCAAUCACCGCUGUGAAGGUGCUGCAUGGUUGUCGUCAGCUCGUGCCGUGAGGUGUCGGCUUAAGUGCCAUAACGAGCGCAACCCUUAUCUUCAGUUACUAACAGGUCAUGCUGAGGACUCUGGAGAGACUGCCGUCGUAAGAUGUGAGGAAGGUGGGGAUGACGUCAAAUCAGCACGGCCCUUACGUCCGGGGCUACACACGUGUUACAAUGGGGGGUACAGAAGGCAGCUAGCGGGUGACCGUAUGCUAAUCCCAAAAUCCUCUCUCAGUUCGGAUCGAAGUCUGCAACCCGACUUCGUGAAGCUGGAUUCGCUAGUAAUCGCGCAUCAGCCACGGCGCGGUGAAUACGUUCCCGGGCCUUGUACACACCGCCCGUCAAGCCAUGGGAGCCGGGGGUACCUGAAGUACGUAACCGCAAGGAUCGUCCUAGGGUAAAACUGGUGACUG
Molecule: ribosomal RNA, 1441 nt
Filed under: uncultured organism
Description: SSU rRNA
Rfam family: Bacterial small subunit ribosomal RNA
Source: RNAcentral